Molecule: ribosomal RNA, 2994 nt
Filed under: Triticum aestivum (bread wheat)
Lineage: Eukaryota; Viridiplantae; Streptophyta; Magnoliopsida; Poales; Poaceae
Description: partial small subunit ribosomal RNA
Source: RNAcentral
AUGCGUACAGAGGUUAUCAAGGCGGACACCAUUGAUGUGGCCGUCGACAGGAUUCUCGUUGAACUUGGGAAAGACACUACAAGCAGCAGAGAGAAUGCCAUCUACUUUGAUGGCUGGGAUGGUCUUGGGGCAUCUGCUGUCCUGCAAGCCGUAGCCAAACGCCUCGGAGUAUCAAAUGAGCCGUGGACAAGGCCUGCAGGGCUGGUGUUUGAGAAAAUCAUCCACAUUGACUGCUCAAAGUGGGAAGGCAGAAGAGCGAUGCAGAGGAAAAUAGCAGAGCAGCUGAACCUUCCCAAUUGGGUGAUGGAGAUGUUUGACAAGCAAGAUGAGCUGGAUGAUAUAAAUGGGUUAGAUGAGGGCUCCCGAACUGAGAUAGCACAAGUUGUCAGAGAGAUCUAUCAAACCACACAGAAUCGGAGAUUCUUGGUGAUUCUGCAUAAUGGAGGCAAUGAGGAGAUUGAUAUAUUCAAUUUUGGCCUUUCUCUAUAUGGAUAUGCCAAUAGCAAGAUGCUGUGGACUUUCCGAGGGAGGUUUCGGCUUGACCCCAAGAUGACAGACAACGUGAAGAGCACAACAACACAUGUUCUUCUUUCAGCUUCAAGAUAUGGGCGAGAUCCGCAAGAGCUUUGGUCUUAUCUAGUUCACCAUGAGGCUGCACAACUUUCCUGCUAUAAGCAUAGCUGUAUCUUCAUAGAUUCAGCGAUUGCUGCUGAGUGUGUCUUGUAUAUGCUGAAACAGUGCUGCAUCGGCUCUCACAUCGUCGACUACGACUGGGCUAUACACACCAGUAAUUAUUGGGUAUGCGAUGGGAUCAUCCCAGUGACAGACAUUGACAAGGCAUGGGAAGUUGGUGAUGUUGUACAGCAUGAGGUACGGUUGUUGAACAAUGACAAUCGACUUAGUAAUGAUGAAUCAACAGUAAUGCUAUCCUCUCACCUGACAAAGUCAGCUGAGCGCAUGCCAUACUGUAUUUCAACAGCAACUUGUGGAUUUGUACAGAGCCGCUUCAGUGUUAUUCUCGAAAACAUGUUUCAACACUCGCACGGGCUCCGCGUGCUCAAGCUCUCAUGGUGCACCUUCAAUUUCUCAUCGCCUCCAUUCCUCUGUUGCCAUAGCUUGAGGUUCCUGUGGCUUGAGCACUGCCAAGAUGAUCUAACAAGAAUUACCAUAAAUCAUCACCACACAGAUGAAGACAAAUUGAAGGAUGAGUUGGACAACAACAACACCGCUAGAUCGUGCUCAUGCUUUCAAAACUUGUGGGUGCUUGACCUGCGGUACACAGAUUGUGAUCAGAUCUUGUCAGCAAGCAUGAUGGAUCUCAUGACCCAGCUCAGGGAGCUAAACGUGAUGGGUGCUGAAAACUGGGAUAUGAGCCAUUUGCGAGGACGGCUCUGUAACAUUCGCAAGCUCCGGGUAACAAAGUCCACCUGCUUCUUCAACAACAACAUGUUGUCAGAGAUGGAAAGGAUGGAGCUUCUUGAUUUUUCGGGAAAUGACAUCACACAAGGCAUGACAUGCUUAUCUGGGCCAGCAAGCAACGGUAGCCUUAAGAGCGUCAUUAUUGAUGGAUGUGAUGGGUUGAAAAAUAUCUCUUUUAGGGGAUGCAAAGAAUUGGCAAACGUGGUGUUGAAAGGAUUAUUGAGGGGUCUCGAGGAGCUGGAACUCUCAGGCACAAGAGUGAAAAUCCUCAACCUUGGAGGAGUCAGAUACGUCCCCAAGCGGAUCGUCCUGCUAGACUCUGAGAAGCUCCGUGCAAUAUUGUGGCCAAGGAGUAUGAUAGUUGGUUGGCGAGAAAACUGGCCGAGAGUGGUGCACAUUGACACAACCUCACCAUCAACACCAGCUUAUAGUGGGGAGGCACCACUUGCACAUCCACAAGCUGAUCCAUCCCUCCACCAGCAGAAAGAAGAAAUGUUUAAGGGUGGAUGGCAGAUUUCUGUUACGGACACUAGGCUCCUUAGGUCUCUUUGUCCCUUAGGCAGUGGUUUUUUAGCGGAGUCAUCAUUACAUAUUGAUAUAUAUGCCGCAGCAAAUAUCCAAGGAACAAGCUGCUACGAACUAGUGCAAGUACAAACGCAUAAAAGUACCAUAAUGGACUCCAAGUACAAAGAUGUACUGAAGAAUGGCCCAGUUGCAGAUUUGAUGGUGUGGGACUGCCCCAAGAUUUACAUUCGUUCACUUGAAUAUACAGUUAUGAUAAAGGUGAUCAUGGAGGACAACAAACUUUUGGAGGAUGCUCCAGGUGCUAGUACUAACGCAUUAUUAUUUCCUUCCUGUAUACAUUGUCGGGCUACAUCUAUGCACAUGUAUGAUAACGCCUCCGUCACCAGUAUCUCCGUGCCUGAAGAAGGUUGGGAUAUGCUAGGAUGGUGCCGGGUGGAAAGGUGCCCCAAGUUACACACAGUUUUUGCUGUUCCCCGGUACGGUGAAUACACCUUUCGUGAGCUGGAGACAUUCUGGGCAUCCCAGCUCCUCUCUGCACGCUACAUCUGGGACAUGCCAGUUGAAGCAUACUCUUUCAUCCUGAAGUUCUUACACCUGGACCACUGUCCCAUGCUCGUACAUGUACUCCCCUUAUGCCUGGGCUAUUGGACAGGGUUGCGUGGUUUGGAAACCCUUGAGAUAGUGUAUUGUGGUGAUCUCACGGAGGUAUUCCCCUUGAGCGCUGAGCUUCAAGAGCAGGAUAAAAUUAACGAAUUUCCCAAGCUGAGGCGAAUACACCUGCAUGAGCUCCCCGUGCUGCAGCGCAUCUGUGGACGCAGGAUAUUUGCGCCUAAACUCGAGACCAUCAAGAUCAGGGGCUGCUGGAGCCUUAGGCGCCUGCCUGCCGUCGGACAAAACACCAAGCCGCCCAAGGUGGACUGCGAGAAGGAAUGGUGGGACAACCUGGAGUGGGAUGGGUUGGAGGAGAACCACCAUCCUUCCCUCUACGAGCCAACCCACUCGUUGUACUGCAAGAAGGCCCAGCUGCCCAGAGGUACCGUACUCAGGUAA